GAUGAACGCUGGCGGCGUGCCUAAUACAUGCAAGUCGAGCGAACAGACGAGGAGCUUGCUCCUCUGACGUUAGCGGCGGACGGGUGAGUAACACGUGGAUAACCUACCUAUAAGACUGGGAUAACUUCGGGAAACCGGAGCUAAUACCGGAUAAUAUCUUGAACCGCAUGGUUCAAUAGUGAAAGACGGUUUUGCUGUCACUUAUAGAUGGAUCCGCGCCGCAUUAGCUAGUUGGUAAGGUAACGGCUUACCAAGGCAACGAUGCGUAGCCGACCUGAGAGGGUGAUAGGCCACACUGGAACUGAGACACGGUCCAGACUCCUACGGGAGGCAGCAGUAGGGAAUCUUCCGCAAUGGGCGAAAGCCUGACGGAGCAACGCCGCGUGAGUGAUGAAGGUCUUCGGAUCGUAAAACUCUGUUAUUAGGGAAGAACAAAUGUGGAAGUAACUAUGCACGUCUUGACGGUACCUAAUCAGAAAGCCACGGCUAACUACGUG
Molecule: ribosomal RNA, 497 nt
Filed under: uncultured bacterium
Lineage: Bacteria
Description: partial 16S ribosomal RNA
Rfam family: Bacterial small subunit ribosomal RNA
Source: RNAcentral